RNAcentral lists this ribosomal RNA (448 nucleotides) under uncultured bacterium. Its description in RNAcentral is "bacterial SSU rRNA". It matches the Rfam family "Bacterial small subunit ribosomal RNA", at positions 1044 to 1503 of the family's 1533-position model. The record is from RNAcentral.
CAUGGCUGUCGUCAACUAGUGUAAUGAGAUGUUGGGUUAAGUCCCGCAACGAGCGCAACCGUUACUGUGAGUUGCCAUCAUUAAGUUGGGCACUCUGAAAGAACUACCAGUCAUAAGCUGGAGGAAGGUGGAGAUGACGUCAAAUCUUCAUGGCCCUUACGUGUUGGGCUACACACGUGCUACAAUGGCAUCUACAACAGGAAGCAAAACGGCAACAUUAAGCAAAUCCAGAAAAGAUGCCUCAGUUCAGAUUGCACUCUGCAAAUCGAGUGCAUGAAACUGAAAUUACUAGUAAUCGUGGAUCAGCGUGCCUCGGUGAAUGCGUUACCGGGUCUUGUACACACCGCCCGUCACACCAUGGGAGUAGGUUCUACCUUAAGGCAAGAUUUUAAACCCUUGACCACGGUAAUAGUCAGCGACUGGGGUGAAGUCGUAACAAGGUACCAUA